This 443-nucleotide ribosomal RNA is filed under the name uncultured bacterium. Its description in RNAcentral is "partial 16S ribosomal RNA". It matches the Rfam family "Bacterial small subunit ribosomal RNA", at positions 338 to 795 of the family's 1533-position model. The record is from RNAcentral.
CCUACGGGUGGCUGCAGUGGGGAAUAUUGGGCAAUGGGCGCAAGCCUGACGCAGCAACGCCGCGUGAAGGAAGAAGGCUUUCGGGUUGUAAACUUCUUUUCUCAGGGACGAAGGAAGUGACGGUACCUGAGGAAUAAGCCACGGCUAACUACGUGCCAGCAGCCGCGGUAAUACGUAGGUGGCAAGCGUUAUCCGGAUUUACUGGGGGUAAAGGGUGAGUAGGCGGGAAGGCAAGCCAGAUGUGAAAACCAUGGGCUCAACCUGUGGCCUGCAUUUGAAACUGUUUUGCUUGAGUACUGGAGAGGCAGACGGAAUUCCUGGUGUAGCGGUGAAAUGCGUAGAUAUGAGGAGGAACACCAGUGGCGAAGGCGGUUUUCUGGACAGCAACUGACGCUGAGGCGCGAAAGCGUAGGGAGCAAACAGGAUUAGAUACCCCGGUAGUC